Long non-coding RNA from Ctenopharyngodon idella (grass carp), 306 nucleotides. RefSeq lists it as uncharacterized. Lineage: Eukaryota; Metazoa; Chordata; Actinopteri; Cypriniformes; Xenocyprididae. The transcript has 3 exons. The record is from RefSeq and is a predicted model, not a curated record.
GAUAUCAGAAUAAACUCAAACAGUGGUGCAGAUAUAAAGAUCAGAGCUGUUACACAGUGGGGAGGACUGACACAUCCCAGAAUCCAUCAGUCCAGAUCAGUGAUGAUGGGAGAAGAUCCUUCACUGUGCUGAUGACUGGACUGAGACUCAGUGAUUCUGGAUGGUUCUUCUGCUCUGCUGGAGAUCAAAAGGCUUUUGUUCAGCUCACAGUCACUGUUCCUGAUGUCUCUCUUGAAGAUCCACAUGUUCCUGUUCCUGUUACUGAACCAAAUCCAGUUGUGACCACUGAAGUUUUUGAAACAGGUU